Molecule: ribosomal RNA, 253 nt
Filed under: uncultured bacterium
Lineage: Bacteria
Description: partial 16S ribosomal RNA
Rfam family: Bacterial small subunit ribosomal RNA
Source: RNAcentral
UACGUAGGGUGCAAGCGUUAAUCGGAAUUACUGGGCGUAAAGCGUGCGCAGGCGGUUUUGUAAGUCUGUCGUGAAAGCCCCGGGCUUAACCUGGGAAUUGCGAUGAAGACUGCAAGGCUAGAAUCUGGCAGAGGGGGGUAGAAUUCCACGUGUAGCAGUGAAAUGCGUAGAGAUGUGGAGGAACACCGAUGGCGAAGGCAGCCCCCUGGGUCAAGAUUGACGCUCAUGCACGAAAGCGUGGGGAGCGAACAGG